Molecule: ribosomal RNA, 439 nt
Filed under: uncultured bacterium
Lineage: Bacteria
Description: partial 16S ribosomal RNA
Rfam family: Bacterial small subunit ribosomal RNA
Source: RNAcentral
CCUACGGGGGGCAGCAGUGGGGGAUAUUGCACAAUGGAGGAAACUCUUAUUCAUCUACUCCUCUUUAUUUAAUACUUUCUUCUUAUUUUAAACCUCUUUCUUUUGUUAAUAAAAUGACGGUACCCAAAGAGGAAGCUCCGGCUAACUACGUGCCAGCAGCCGCGGUAAUACGUAGGGAGCGAGCGUUGUCCGGAAUUACUGGGUGUAAAGGGAGCGUAGGCGGGCGAGAAAGUUGAAUGUUAAAUCUACCGGCUUAACUGGUAGCUGCGUUCAAAACUUCUUGUCUUGAGUGAAGUAGAGGCAGGCGGAAUUCCUAGUGUAGCGGUGAAAUGCGUAGAUAUUAGGAGGAACACCAGUGGCGAAGGCGGCCUGCUGGGCUUUAACUGACGCUGAGGCUCGAAAGCGUGGGGAGCAAACAGGAUUAGAUACCCGGGUAGUC